Molecule: ribosomal RNA, 471 nt
Filed under: uncultured bacterium
Lineage: Bacteria
Description: bacterial SSU rRNA
Rfam family: Bacterial small subunit ribosomal RNA
Source: RNAcentral
UCAGGAUGAACGCUGACAGAAUGCUUAACACAUGCAAGUCUACUUGAUCCUCGGGUGAAGGUGGCGGACGGGUGAGUAACGCGUAAAGAACUUGCCUUACAGACUGGGACAACAUUUGGAAACGAAUGCUAAUACCGGAUAUUAUGAUUGGGUCGCAUGAUCUGGUUAUGAAAGCUAUAUGCGCUGUGAGAGAGCUUUGCGUCCCAUUAGUUAGUUGGUGAGGUAACGGCUCACCAAGACGAUGAUGGGUAGCCGGCCUGAGAGGGUGAACGGCCACAAGGGGACUGAGACACGGCCCUUACUCCUACGGGAGGCAGCAGUGGGGAAUAUUGGACAAUGGACCAAAAGUCUGAUCCAGCCAAUUCUGUGUGCACGAUGAAGUUUUUCGGAAUGUAAAGUGCUUUCAGUUGGGAAGAAGUCAGUGACGGUACCAACAGAAGAAGCGACGGCUAAAUACGUGCCAGCCGCCGC